CAGAGCCAAGCCAGCCUUCCUGAGCACGCGCACCGCCUCUGGCCUGCUGCGCCAGGCUGGCCAAGGCGCCCCGCCUCCCUGGCCCCGAACCCCAGCUCACUGCUGCCAGUCCUACACCCAGCUGGGAGAGGGCACAGCGGCUCACCAAAGUCAGCCAGCUGCACAUGGCAGCUGGAUCAGGGGGUUCUGGUGCAGAAGAGGGCUACAAACACAUGUGGAUGGCCUGGAGAUAGCCACAGUCUGACAAGGGAGAGGGUCCCAGGGGCACUACUGCCACAUGUGCCACCUCCCUUCUAGGCUUUACUGUCCUUCUCUGGGACAUGGGACAGUAAUAGGAGGACCCCUGUGUCCUGUCCUGGAAGGAACCCCUUGUUCCACUGGGGGCAGGAGCACCAUGGGGUGCACCUGGGAGAGUAAGCCUUGUUGGGGAGCCCAGGCCAGGUAGGCAGCCCUCCCAGUCUCCCCGGCGGCGCUCGGAGAGACUGCUCCCAGUCUCUCUGCUGGCUUCUCCCUACCCCCGUCCCCUUGGCCACACACACACACACACACACACACACACCCCAUCUGGCCAGACAGCCUGCCCCCCAGGACCCUCCCUCUAGCAGUGGACUUUACCUGUGGCCCUCACCAGCCGUCAUCAUCUCCGGUGGCACAGCCCAUAGCCUACUGACCUCCUGUGGGCCUGGGAAUGGGUCCACACCUGACCAAGAGUGAGGAAGAGCUGGCCUGCGCCUGAUGGGCUCUGGGUGUGUGCUGCACACCAGGUGAGGCCUGUCCCCGUCGUCCCUAGACCAGCCCCUGGUGUGGCCCAGAACCCAGCCUCCCUGCCUGCAUCAGACCUUGUAGCUCGUUGGGCACACAUGGUGGGGGAGAUAAGCCCCCAGUCCCUGACGCCAGCUUCUUCCUGGACAGGAGUGACUGAUAAAUCCUCUGGCAGCCUGUGGACAGUGGGCACGGCAGCAUUUGAACCCAUGGCCUGUGCUUAGAACCACUGGCCACCCAGGGUACCAGCUGGGUACACAGUGGUGCUGUGUACAGGCCUCACACUGUCCUCUCAGGGUGACCAGCAAUACAGCACUGCCUUCCUGCCACGGCCUGUGGGCUCUGGACUGUGCACAGCUCACCCCCACGGAAGGGACGAGGAUGGGUCUGGGGUGGGGAGAGGAAGAAUGUGAAUGAUCCUGUUUUCCAAAUAUCUGCAGAACCCACACAGAGGCCUGACGUCGGGCACUCAGAGGAGGUGUAGC
RNAcentral lists this long non-coding RNA (1247 nucleotides) under Marmota monax (woodchuck). Lineage: Eukaryota; Metazoa; Chordata; Mammalia; Rodentia; Sciuridae. The record is from RNAcentral.